GUAAAAGUCGUAACAAGGUUUCCGUAGGUGAACCUGCGGAAGGAUCAUUAAAAAAUGGAACUCUUUCAAAGAGUUCAUUAAUAAUCCCUACCCUUUGUGAAUUUGUUUGUUUGAAAUAAUUUUUUUUAUUAAAAAAUUAUUGAAUGUCUUUCCCUGUUUUUUGGUGGAAAAAUGGUAAAACGUUUGGAAACCGAAAAUCAGGGGAAUGGUAUUCAUAUAAUUUUUUAUUAAAAGACCUUUUUUUUAAAUUAAACUUUUUGUAUUCAUUUGUCUAAAAAUUAUUUUUAUAAUAUAAAAACAACUUUUGACAAUGGAUCUCUUGGUUCUCGCAACGAUGAAGAACGCAGCAAAAUGCGAUAAGUAGUGUGAAUUGCAGAAUACGUGAAUCAUCGAAUCUUCGAACGCAUAUGCACUUUUUUAGUUACUAAAAAAGUAUGUCUGUUUGAGUAUCAGUAAAAUAUUCUCAUAAAAAAAUUUGUUUUUUUUUAUGGUUCUGAGUGUUUUACAACGAUAACAAGUUGUUUCACUUUAAAUUCUUUGUUAUCAAAAAAAAUCAUUUAAAAACUAAUUUAAAAGAUUUUUUUAAAAUUGGAUAAAAUUUUCCUGUAAAAAGGAAUAACCUUAAACAAUCUUAGAAAAAUUAAAAUUGGUUUGAUUUCUUUUUUGAAAUUAAAAAGGAAAAAAGUUAAAUUAACUUGAUCUCAAAUCAGAUAAGAGUACCCGCUGAACUUAAGCAUAUCAAUAAGCGGAGGAAAAGAAACUAACUAGGAUUCCCUUAGUAACGGCGAGUGAAGCGGGAAGAGCUCAAAUUUGAAAUCUUCAAGGUUUUACCUUGACGAAUUGUAGUUUAAAGAAGUGUUUUCUGUUGGUGUUUUGGUAAAAGUUCUUUGGAAUAGGACAUCAUAGAGGGUGAGAAUCCCGUAUUUGACCAUUACUUCCAGCGUUGUGAUACACUUUCAAAGAGUCGGAUUGUUUGGGAAUGCAGUCCAAAAUGGGUGGUAAAUUUCGUCUAAAGCUAAAUAUUGGCGAGAGACCGAUAGCGAACAAGUACCGUGAGGGAAAGAUGAAAAGAACUUUGAAAAGAGAGUUAAACAGUACGUGAAAUUGUCAAAAGGGAAGCGUUUGACACCAGUGUUGUUUUC
This 1142-nucleotide unclassified non-coding RNA is filed under the name uncultured Neocallimastigales. RNAcentral describes it as "partial contains small subunit ribosomal RNA, internal transcribed spacer 1, 5.8S ribosomal RNA, internal transcribed spacer 2, and large subunit ribosomal RNA". The stretch from base 697 to 1142 matches the Rfam family "Eukaryotic large subunit ribosomal RNA", at positions 1 to 442 of the family's 3401-position model. Lineage: Eukaryota; Fungi; Neocallimastigomycota; Neocallimastigomycetes; Neocallimastigales. The record is from RNAcentral.